GACGAACGCUGGCGGCGUGCUUAACACAUGCAAGUCGAACGGAAAGGCCCUGCUUUUGUGGGGUGCUCGAGUGGCGAACGGGUGAGUAACACGUGAGUAACCUGCCCUUGACUUUGGGAUAACUUCAGGAAACUGGGGAUAAUACCGGAUAGGAGCUCCUGCUGCAUGGUGGGGGUUGGAAAGAUUCGGCUGUUGGGGAUGGCUUCGCGGCUGUUCAGCUUGUUGGGUGGGUAGUGUCUUACCAAGGCUUCGACGGUUAGGCGGCCUGCGAGGGUGACCUGCCUCAUUGGGACUGAGAUACGGCCCAGACUCCUACGGGAGGCAGCAGUGGGUAAUAUUGCACAAUGGGCUGAAGCCAGAUGCAGCGCCGCCGCGAGCGCUAUGACGGCCUUCUGGUUGUAAACCGCUUUCGCCUAUGACGAAGCGUGAUUGACGGUAAUGGGUAAAGAAGCACCGGCUAACUACGUG
Molecule: ribosomal RNA, 468 nt
Filed under: uncultured bacterium
Lineage: Bacteria
Description: partial 16S ribosomal RNA
Rfam family: Bacterial small subunit ribosomal RNA
Source: RNAcentral